This 2586-nucleotide long non-coding RNA is filed under the name Sus scrofa (pig). RNAcentral's name for it is "lncRNA (ENSSSCG00015000753.1)". Lineage: Eukaryota; Metazoa; Chordata; Mammalia; Artiodactyla; Suidae. The record is from RNAcentral.
UUUUUUUUUUUUUUUUUUUUUUUUUUCCCACUGUACAGCAAGGGGGUCAGGUUAUCCUUAGAUGUAUACAUUGCAGUUACAGUUUUCUCCCCCACCCUUUCUGCUGUUGCGACAUGAGUAUCUAGACAUAGUUCUCAAUGGGAACUCCUAUUUUUUAAAGAAUUUUUGUUAUAGUUGAUUUACAAUGUUCUGUCAAUUUCUGCUCCACAGCAAAGUGACCACUUACACAUACAUACAUUCUUUUUUUCACAUUAUCCUCCAUCAAUGUUCCAUCACAAGUGAUUGCAUAUACAGCAAGAUCUCAUUGCUUAUCCACUCCAAAUGCAAUAAUCUGCAUCUACUAAGCCCAAACUCCUAGUCCAUGCCCCUCCCUCCUCCUCCCCCUUUUUUCUUCGUCAGAUUUAAUACAACGGUGAGUCCAGACUGCUCUUAAAAUUGAGGUAACUUAUCUCAGUAGUCCUGCAAGUUCUAUACUUGUUCUUUUCAUAUCUACCAGGGUGCUUGAUAAAUUUGCUUCAAUUGCACUGAACAUACCCCAAAGACGAUAAUUCAUAAAGUGAAAAAUAUGAGUCGGUAUCUCAACAUCUGAAGUCGGAGUUUUUUUUCUAUGUUUUCUUUAAAAAUAGAGCUAUUUUUACUUAAUUGCAUUUACAACACAGACACUUCUUAAGAUUUACUUUAUUGGAGUAUGGUGGAUUUACAAUGUUGUGCUAAUUUCGGCUGUAUGGCAAAGUGACUUAGUUAAACAUAUAUACAUUCUUUUUAAAGACAUCCUUUUCCAUUAUAGUUUAUCACAGGAUUCGGAACAUAGUUCCCUGUGCUCUGCAUAGGACCAUGUUGCUUAUCCCUCCUAUAGAUACUAGUUUGCACCUGCUAAUCCCCAACUUCCGAUCCUUCCCUCCCCCACGCCCUCCCCUCCCCCACCCCCGGCAGCCAUAAAUCUGCUGUGUAUGUUAACACAGAUACUUCUGAAUUCAAUUCCCUUGUUGCUGCAGCCUUCGCAAUUUGUAGAAACUACUGAUGCAAUGUUUUGAUUCAUUUACAUACUUGCUCCAACUAUUUUCUUGGCCUUUCUCUUCAUUUCAUUUGUUUUCUUGUUGUGCAGCUUAAUAUUUAAAAAUAACACUGUGAUACUCUUUGUGAUUUUUUUCUAUCACACAAACAGAAGGAAAGACAUUUUAAUCUUUCCAUUGUCCUGAUAAAUCAACACUCUUGCUUUGAAUCAUGAUUUGUUUUACACGAAACUCUUUACCCAAGGACUGUUCCAUGUAACUCUUUAAUUGAUUCUGACAUCAGGUGCGGAUCUAAUUUUUUUAGGUAGCUGAUUUCUUAUUCCAACAUAGGUUUCUAUUUGUUAACUAUUCUUACUUCCUUGUUUUACUGUGUCCUUGAAUGUCCUGUUGGUAUAUUAUUUGUUGAAUGUAGCCUCCUCUUUGGUAUAUUGUUAUUUGAAUAUAUUAUAAUAACUAAAAGGUAGCUUACGUCAUAUAGAGUGCUCUCGUCAUAUAGAGUAUAACUUUUAAAUCCCAAUCACCAGGGUCACAACCAAGGCUUACCACCUACAUGCUCUAUGACCUUCAAUGAGUCUCUUUACUAUUGCACCUCAGUAGUCUCAUCUCUAAAAUGGGGGCUAAAAUAACACCUGCCUUGACAUAAGCUCCUAUACAUGGAAGGCACAAACAACAAGGUCCUACUGAAUAGCACAGGGAAUUAUCUUCACUACCCUACGAUCAACCAGAAUGGAAAAACUAUUUUAAAAAAUUAACACCUGCCCCGCAUGCUUGUUAUGACAGUUUGGCUCUUUUCUGUGUGUGCUUAUUUUUUGGUAACACACACAGAAAUGCUUUCAUGUGACAUCAAGCUUAUCAAGAACGACUCCAGUCCCUGAUUGGUGUAAAUGUGUAAUGCAUUGAAGAGAACUUCCAUUUUUUAAGGAAGAGAAGACUGGGAAUGAGCCAGGUCUAGAGGAAGGCAGGCCCACAAGUUCCAUCUGAGAACUGACUGAGUUUGGGGUGUCUCUGAGAAAACCAAGAGGCAAUGUCCAGAAAGCAGCUAGAUUUGUUCCCCAGAAAACAAGAUGAGUAACGAGCUGCCUGGUGAUGCCCUCUGCUUUCUCAUCAGCUCACUGCAGGCAGAUUUCCAGGAUGCAGAGCCGGGCAGCCAUCCUUCUGCGUAGGAAAUAACUCUCCGCCAGGACGUGAAGCAUCUUUUCACUUAAGUUUUCUAAACGCGAGAAAAAAUGUUUAUCUAUGUGAGUCACUGCAGAUCUUUUGCAACAUGUUUUUUUGGGACUGUCGACUAAUGUUGUCCAAGAGAGGAUCCAAGUGGAACCAAGCAAAAUGUCAAGUAAAAUAUGGUUUCAGGCAUCUGUCUGAAGUCAGUAGAGUACUCAGACUUUCUGCGAUGAGUAUUCAGGGCAUGACCUAUUCUUAGGAUUCCAGUCAUUCAAUACUUUGGUGAAGAUAAUGCUGGACCCCUCACGUUUAAGACUUUCCAAAGCUUCUUAGAAUAGGAGGCUGUGCAAAGGUCAUGGAAGGUUCUUGCACUGAGGCAGCUGCCUACGUCAGACUCAGAAGGAAUCCACCA